CGCCUCUGUGUUGCCAGUCCACCUUGCAAGUGGUGGACUUCGGUGUCAAACGAGGCAGAAAGAAAAGCCCCGGUAGGUCCACCUGCCCAAGACCUGCCCGAGGUCACGGGGCCGGAACUGCCCGGGAACAGGC
Suncus etruscus (white-toothed pygmy shrew) is the source of this 133-nucleotide small nucleolar RNA. RefSeq annotates it as small nucleolar RNA SNORA13. NCBI's taxonomy places the organism in Eukaryota, Metazoa, Chordata, Mammalia, Eulipotyphla, Soricidae. The transcript has a single exon. The record is from RefSeq and is a predicted model, not a curated record.